GAAUUUUGGACAAUGGGGGAAACCCUGAUGCAGCGACGCCGCGUGGGCGAAGAAGGUUUUCGGAUCGUAAAGCCCUUUUCUGCGUGACGAUGAUGACGGUAGCGCAGGAAGAAGUGUCGGCUAACUACGUUCCAGCAGCCGCGGUAAACCGUAGGACGCGAACGUUAUCCGGAAUUACUGGGCGUAAAGGGCGCGCAGGCGGUCGGGUAAGUUAGGCAUGAAAGCUCCCUGGCUAAACCGGGAGAGGCUGUCUGAUACUGCCGGACUGGAGUGUGGUAGAGGGGUGUAGAAUUCUGCGUGUAGUGGUGAAAUGCGUAGAUAUGCGGAGGAAUACCAGUGGCGAAGGCGGCACCCUGGACCACAACUGACGCUGAGGCGCGAAAGCAUGGGUAGCGAACGGG
This 401-nucleotide ribosomal RNA is filed under the name uncultured bacterium. Its description in RNAcentral is "bacterial SSU rRNA". It matches the Rfam family "Bacterial small subunit ribosomal RNA", at positions 359 to 776 of the family's 1533-position model. The record is from RNAcentral.